UAGUCUUUUGUUUACUCUUCGUUUAAUACUUCUUUUAGAAAUUUGUUUUGCUCCUAGUUCAAGCUUUGCGCAGAGAUUGUUAUUUUAUUUCAGUCUUAGUUGCAUGGUCGGCCUCAAAGCCUACCACCAUCCUGUUUUGCUAGUUACACUAUUUUAUGGAUCGGGGAAUCAAGUUAGAUCUAUAAAUUGAGGUUUUCUAUUAGAAACAAAUGAUAUCUAACAAACACCUGAAUUUGUAUUAUAUGGCAAGUUAUCUGACAUGGUUUUUAUAUCUUGAACAAUGAACAUUAUAUUCUGUUUGUAGAUUGGUUUGAUAUGCUCCCAUUAGCUUUUACCCCUUAAAACGAUAUUUGCCUUUUAAAUACCUGGUUUUCGGUUGUAUCAGGCAAGGGAAUUAACUAGCAAAGAAGCACUAGUUUUGCGUCUGCAAAAGCAGUAUCCAGAUGAUAUUGGCAUCAUAGCAGCCCUGCUUUUUAAUUACAUUAAGCUUAAGCCUGGAGAAGCUUUGUAUCUGGGAGCAAACGAACCUCAUGCAUACAUAUUUGGUGAAUGCAUUGAGUGCAUGGCUACUUCAGAUAAUGUUGUACGAGCUGGGCUUACUCCAAAGAAGCGUGAUACUGAGAUCCUGUGUUCUAUGCUGACAUAUAAACAGGUUUGUAAGAAGCCUCGGAGCUUCACCCCUAGACGUAGGCUGCUUUUCUUAUACAGUAAGAUGGUUGUGGAUACUGGUCAGGAAGUGGCUAAUACCAUUUCUUAAAAACACUGUUUCUUCUUUUAUAUAUUGGACUGAAUUUCACCUCAGGCACAAAUGUAAUCCUGUUUUUUGCAGGGCUCUCCUGAAAUUUUGCCAGGAGUCAACAUAAAUUCAAGUAUAAAAAGAUACACUCCUCCUCUCGAUGAAUUUGAGAUUGAUCAUUGUGUUCUCAAGGAUGAGAACUCUGUUGUUUUCCCUGUGGUACCCGGCCCUUCAAUCUUUUUGGUCACAGCAGGCAAUGGAACAAUGAAGUCAGAAGCUGAAGAAAUAGUUUCUGAGGGCGAUGUGAUGUUCGCACCAGCCAACAGUCGUAUCUGUGUCACUGCUGCAUCGGAGUUGCAUCUGUACAGAGCCGGAGUGAAUAGCAGAUUUUUUAGGCUGGACUGACCAAUGCUUUCACCUGUGAUAUUAGUAGUCAUUUUAGCUUCAUAUGGUGUGAGAAUUAAUGCCGUGUCUGUAUGUUAGCAUAUUUAAAAGUAGUUUUUAAUAUAUAAUCCAGUACAAUAAGUUUAAGUAAUACAUCUAUGAGCUAUCUCUGUGCAUAUAUCCCUUCCUAAGUGAUGAAUAGUUGCAUAGGAGAUAUGCAGAUGCACUAGUGUCUGUAUCUGCAUAUGUUCCUGCAGGCUGAAACUAUUGAGUGUGCAACAUAGUUCAUCAAGUUAUUGGAUACCGUAAUAACUUAUAUUGAUGGCAUAAAGGUCUUGUGCCAAUUAUUGCCACAUUGUUGUUCUUCACAAGUUAUGCAAUUUUCACUUCCAGGCUGAUAUAUUUCUGGUGCCCCAGAUUGAUGCAGCAAUUAAAAGGUUCAACAUUGAUAUGGUAGGCUGUCUUCCUUCCUCAAACUUUGAAUAUCUAAUGGCCAGUGUGCUUUAGACUUUCCUUCAUCUAGGCAAGCUUAUGAUGUUAUUGCUGGUGACAGAUUAAAGUCCGAGUCAAGCAUGCAACCUGUCCGGUAAAAGUUAUACUCCCAAGAUUCAAGAAACACCUAAUAAUAUGGUAGUGCAGGCAGGCAUGUAGACUACAAUUAUAUCGGCAUUCUGUGAUUGUAAUUUUUAUUCUUUUUUCUUGAAGAAUAAAAAUGUAAAUGAUAAUAUUGCUUGAAUUGGUUCCUUUAAAGUCAGGGCAUUGCAUUUGUAACCCCGUAUGAAAUAGUACUACAAAUGCUGAUAAAAAAGUACUAGAAGCGCUGAUGAAAAGUUGCACAACCGUGCACCGCUUUGUUCUAAUUUAUUGAUGUUUGCUUCAGAAAAUGGUUGAUGGAGGAAUUGUUAAUAAUUGGAUGUGUGUGAACUUUGCACAAAAUGUUCAAGAUAAUUUGGCUAGCGGGUUUUGUUCAAAACUCGCAUAGAUGUGCACAAUAUCAGGUAUGGUAUAUACCGCAAGACCUCUUUGUCUUGAUGUUCUCUACAUAUUGUCAAGUAUAUGAUAUCAGACAAGAAGAUAUGGCUAGGAUAUCAGACAAAUAUAUAUGGCAAGGGAACAAGAAAAUCACAAGCAGAUAAGAGGACGUGACAAGAAAAUCUCAAGCAGAUAAGAGGACGUGACACGUGACAGGGAAUCUGGUAGCUUUGAAAGAAAUAGAGACAAGGGGAAUUUGAAAUAGUGGGAAAAGACUGCACCCAGAAAUAAUUCAUGUAGAAAAUCAUUAUUGAAAUACAUUAUUGUAAUACUGUAACAAAAACCUGGAUCUCUAUAUAAGAGACCUUAUUGUAAAUCAUCAGUUUUUGGAAUACAACAUCUUAAAUUUCUCUACAUUCAUUCUUCUUAUGGCAAGCUAAACCUCUUCUCCUACAGUCUACAACAGAUAAACAUGUUCAUCAAUAAGAUAUCAUAUACAAAUAUUAUCUAUUUAUCAUUACAUCAGGGACUCCGGUGAUCCAAUCUGUUUGAAUAGUUUGAUUUAUUUUGAUAAAUAAGAUAGGAUUUUUAUAUGAUAUUUAUAAUUCAUGUUAUGCAUGAUAUUGAUGAAGCAUGUUUAGAAGUUAUAGAUUGUAGAUUUUAUUUUAAACAUGUUUGUUUUUGUCGGAAUAUCUAAUUGCCUACCCUCUUUAGGGUUUAACAGAUAUGAGAAACGAUCCCCUAAUAUCUUGGACUGAACUAUAUUUUUCCUGUUUAGCGGUUCGAUCCCAAUCCAGUGCUUCCAGUUACCGGCGCACAGACUGAUCAGGUGGAGAGUGUGCUAAAAUCACGUUUUCAAGAGGUGCAGAAACUGAAGAAGGAGCUUGACCUAUUGAUUCUUAUUCUUCCAGAUAAUAAUGGCUCACUAUGGUAUGUAACCAUUUGAGAAAUUCUGAUUCUGAUAUUUGUAAUGGUCCAGUGCUUUUAUUGAAUGUCUGCGUAAUUGUCUGUCUGUGGUUUUGCUUGCAUUCACACUUCUGUGUAAUGGUAUCUGUCUCACUAAUCGCUGUUUAUGACUAUUCAUGAAGGCGAUCUAAAGAGAAUUUGUGAGACCGACCUUGGAAUAGUUUCACAUUGUUGCUUGACAAAACAUGUCUUCAAGAUGAGCAAGCAACACCUAGCGAAUAUGGCUUUAAAGAUAACGUCAAAGUUGGGGGAAGAAAUACAGUUCUUGUUGAUGCUUUAUCGAGGCGUAUUCCACUUGUCAGUGACCGGCCUACAAGCAUUUUUGGUGCCGAUGUCACCCAUCCUCAUCCUGGAGAAGAUUCCAGCCCCUUAAUUGCAGCAGUAUGAUAUAAAAUUUUAUAGAACUGCUUAUACAUACUUGAGUUAAUGUUUGUAUGUGUUAAUAUGAUUGCCUCUAUUUGACAGGAUUAUGUGUAUAUUAUUAAUUUCUUAUCAUCUAUUGUUGCUUAAAUUUGAUAUGAGAUUUGUUAUAUAAAUUUCAGGUCGUUGCUUCACAAGAUUGGCCAGAGAUAACAAAGUGUGCUGAAUUGGUUUGUGCUCAAGCCCAUAGACAAGAGCUUAUUCAGGAUCUGUACAANUUUAUUUCAGUCUUAGUUGCAUGGUCGGCCUCAAAGCCUACCACCAUCCUGUUUUGCUAGUUACACUAUUUUAUGGAUCGGGGAAUCAAGUUAGAUCUAUAAAUUGAGGUUUUCUAUUAGAAACAAAUGAUAUCUAACAAACACCUGAAUUUGUAUUAUAUGGCAAGUUAUCUGACAUGGUUUUUAUAUCUUGAACAAUGAACAUUAUAUUCUGUUUGUAGAUUGGUUUGAUAUGCUCCCAUUAGCUUUUACCCCU
RNAcentral lists this long non-coding RNA (3952 nucleotides) under Daucus carota (carrot). RNAcentral's name for it is "long non-coding RNA (DCAR_LNC003485)". Lineage: Eukaryota; Viridiplantae; Streptophyta; Magnoliopsida; Apiales; Apiaceae. The record is from RNAcentral.